AGCGUGUGGUUUAAUUCGAUGUUACACGAAGAACCUUACCUGGGUUUGACAUGCUAGUGGUAAUGAAGCGAAAGCUAAGUGACCCGCAAGGGAGCUAGCACAGGUGCUGCAUGGCUGUCGUCAGCUCGUGUCGUGAGAUGUUGGGCUAAGUCCCGCAACGAGCGCAACCCCUAUUGUUAGUUGCCAUCAUUCAGUUGGGCACUCUAGCGAGACUGCCGGUAAUAAACCGGAGGAAGGUGGGGAUGACGUCAAAUCAUCAUGCCCCUUAUGACCUGGGCUACACACGUGCUACAAUGGUUGGUACAACGAGUUGCGAGUCGGUGACGGCGAGCUAAUCUCUUAAAAGCCAAUCUCAGUUCGGAUUGUAGGCUGCAACUCGCCUACAUGAAGUCGGAAUCGCUAGUAAUCGCGGAUCAGCACGCCGCGGUGAAUACGCUCCCGGGCCUU
RNAcentral lists this ribosomal RNA (447 nucleotides) under uncultured Streptococcus sp. RNAcentral describes it as "bacterial SSU rRNA". It matches the Rfam family "Bacterial small subunit ribosomal RNA", at positions 936 to 1382 of the family's 1533-position model. The record is from RNAcentral. Lineage: Bacteria; Bacillati; Bacillota; Bacilli; Lactobacillales; Streptococcaceae.